AACCAUCACCCAACCAUGGGACCACUGGUUGACCUGAGAAGCUACGUAUUGACACGGCGCUACCACGGGUGGAGGAGCCUGCAUUGCUGAAUCACAGGAUGAAGGCGAAUCCCUGCCAGCCUCCAUCCAUCUCUGGGGUGCUUAGCAGAAUCCUCAGCUCACAAGAUGAAUAAAUGCAGACUAAAUGAUGCACAAAUAAUCUUCACACACAACCAUCAACACAUGGAAAGACUGCAGGACGGCCAGAUCCCAAGCUAACAAACAGGGGAAGAUGAUGUUUCAAAUGAUCAUCUGAAUGCUGGGUUUCCACCUUCCACCAGGAAGUCAUAUGGUUGUUCAACAGUUUCGUAUCUGCCAAACCUGAGAAAAUUCUUCAUAAAAUUUCAGAGCUUUUGAGCCUCUUUGAAGUGGCAAUAUCCACAGGGGACCCGAUGUGCUCAGCUAACUUGAAAAAGAAAAAAAAUGGCAUUAUGAUACAAACAGAAAAUGUAACAGUGGAGUGCAGAAAAUACAAAAAAAAGGAAAAAAUAAAUAGAAAAUCUUCAAAGAGGCAAUCUGUUUAAAUCUUCAAGAACUGGAAACAGUAAAAGUGAACAGGUUUUUAUUGAGCAUGUCAAUAAAAUGUUUGCAUAAGACUUUACAAGUGCUUUAUUUCAUGAGGUUUUUAUUAUUGAUCAAAGCAACGAAAAUGAACGGGAAAUUCAUUCUCAUCAAAUCUACAACUUGGGAGGAGGUCCGAUGAAAUCCCUGGAAGCUCACAUUUUUUAUAAAUGAAGAGUUAAUUACCGGUGGGAACAAUGAGAACCUCUGUGGUUCUUCCUGAUGCUUGGAUCCUCCCAGACCUCUGUUUCCAGUCUCCUUCUCCACAACCUGGCCUAUGCGAUGCAAGUGGUCUAACUGAUCUCCGCCUAGGGAAGGAUCCUUCGGCAACUUGCCGACAAGAGAAGCAGCGAUGCCCGAGGCAGGUCCAAAGGAGCACUGACUGCGUGGGAUUGAUUACACUGGAGGAACAAAAGGUCCUGUGGCUACACAAGUUUGAAAAGCAGAAGGUACAAUCAUUGUAUUUCUGGCAGACUUUUCAAAGACUUUAAUAUAUGAAUCCCUCAUAUGAAUCUCCUGGAGGAUUAUAUAAUAGGCAGAUCUCCCAGCCAUUUUCACUGAACAGUUCUUAGAAUUGGUAUCCUUGAAAAAUUUCACCUAACCACUCAAUAUGGUAGCCACUAGUCCUGGGUGGCUAUUGAGCACCUGAAAUUUGCCUAGUCUGAAUUAAGACACAUUCUAAGAAUAAAGCACACUGUAUUUCAAAGGCAGUACAAAAAUAAAAAAGAAUGUAAGCUGUCUCAAUAAUAAUUUUUGUAUUGAAUACGUGUUGAAAUGAUGUUAUUUUUGAUAUAUUGAGUGAAAUAAAUUGUAUUGCUAAAA
Molecule: long non-coding RNA, 1422 nt
Organism: Homo sapiens (human)
Lineage: Eukaryota; Metazoa; Chordata; Mammalia; Primates; Hominidae
Gene: CT69
Product: cancer/testis associated transcript 69
Source: Ensembl